UAGCAGAAGACGAUUACUGGGUGCUGAUUCGGCCUCCUGGAUCCAAAGACUUCUGCGACUAUAAAAAGCAAAUGAGUUCAGUAGAUCUGAUGGAAGUCAUGAACGUGUUCCUCUCCGAGCAUGAGUGCGAGCAUGAUGACACACUACCUGACCUCUCCAGUUUCAGUCCAGAAGGAACGGCCGGGCGGAGGACGGCACAUGGACGGAGGGGAGACAGACAGACCAGAACUCUGGGGAUCGACUGUGGAGACAGGAAGUGACAACUUUUCUGGAAGAUCUUAGUGGAGCUGAGCUUUGUCAACAUGGCACCACUGCUGCCCCCUGUUGGUGCGGAGGUAUUCGUUCGUUUUACACCAGCAUCACUGGAGAAAAUCCAACAACGACAUGAGGCUGAGGAGAAGGAGCUCCAGCGGAAGAAGGACAAGAACAUCGAAGUCAAAUCCAUACUCACAACCGUCCGUCUGUAGCCUGGAAAGCACAGACGAUCAAUAACCUGAUUGUGUUUCUUUGUAACAGAUAUCUGAAGACGAUCUUCCUAAACCAGCCAGUGAUCUGGAGGCAGGGAAGCCCUUGCCCUUCAUAUUCGGAGACCCGCCUUCAGAGUUUCUCAACAUCCCAUUGGAGGAUCUGGAUCCAUUCUAUCAGUCACAAAAGGUUUCUUCCUAAAUGAUCACAUGUGAAUUCAAAAGGGAGAAUUUAAAAUCUCUGACAUGAAAUAGACAAAAAAUAAAUUGAAAACAUUUCAAGACAAAAACACACUUGCUCUGAGCACAGGGGUGGCAUGUUAGCAGCAUGGGGGCAUUUUGGGCAGAGGUAUAAAUGAUGCCCCCUGAACUGAUGCUUUAUGGAACGUAUCAUGUGAUCAGCAUUUAUGUCUCUUUCCUUUGCCGCCACAGUCGAGGCUCAUCGAUGCGUUGUCGUGUUACCAUGACAACGCGCUGGAGCAUGGAUCAAAUAGUUCACUUUUUGUGAAAAAGCAAUCUAAAUGGAAAAAUAGCAAUUGGAAAGCACUAAAAACCGUGGUAUAAGUGGAAAAUACCCCACAAAGGGUUAUUAACGCACGGCAUGGAAGCCUGAACUACUGAGGCAAAGUGGAAGUCUGUUUCUUCCUUCCAUGUAACUAAUGUGUGUUAAUAAAUAUCCACGCCUUAAUACUGUUUUAUCAAUCACGUUACUUUUCACGUUUAUUAGUGCGUUACUGUUCACAGCCCUAGAUUAUGCAUCUUCUGCAGUAGAUUUAACAUGAACUAAUCACAGAUGUCAUCAACAGGAGUCAGUUAGAGCAUCGGUCUGUCUAAAGACUGCUCUGACUAUCACCUGUCUGUCUAAUACUGAUCUAAUCCUGUCUCUCCACAGACCUUCAUCGUGCUCAGUAAAGGGAACGUCAUCUACAGGUUUAACGCCGAGCCAGCGUGUUACCUUCUAACUCCCUUCAACCCUUUAAGGAUCUUUUCUAUUCGGAUCCUCAUCCAUUCAUAUCCUUCAUUUUCUCCGUCUUAGAACAGGAUUCAGGCCGUUUUCAAUGUGUUCAUGGUCUGAGGUAGAGUGGCCGACCUCUGAUGGGGAAAUCAAAGGUUUGGUUCCCUCUCUGCUAGCUCAUAGGUCAAGGUGUCACUGAGCAAGGCACUGAACCCCACAUUGCUCCUGGUGGUCAUAGGUUGGGUUCAGUUUUGGGCAGUGGGGCUGGCAUCAGUGUGAAUGUGUUCAUGGGUGAAUGGGAGCAUUGACCUGCCAGCUCCAUCUCUGGACCGCAGCUCGUUACGGCUCAGGUGUUAGACUAGAUAUGGACCGUUUGCUAAAGGCAGGUGUUGCAAAUGCGAAAUAGGUGAAAGCUUUGUGACUUUUCAGAAGGAUUACGACCCUCUGACGUAUACAAACAACCUCAGGAUACAGACUGGACCCUUGGACCUGAAGUUAGGGUUUCCAUUUCUGACUUUAACAAUAAGUAUACCAUCCUUUUUCUAAGACUCUCCACUGCUACAUUUAGGGGUUCCCACAGUGAAUUAUCUGCUUUUAUCUGAUCCUAUCUUCUGGAUUGUGCUGACUAAUGCAAACCAUCCUCACAUCCUCCUUCAUCCAUGAACCUCUUCUGGUCUUCCUCUGGACGUCCAGAAAUGUAAAUGAUAACAAGAAGAAUGGAUUGAAUUUUUAUGUGCUUUUACAAUCUGUCAGCAGGAUUCAUUCACACUGCUGAUGUGUCCACAGCAGAGGCGUGGCAGAGGUGUGGCUUUCAGGACACGCCCACAACCUUCUGAAUGUCACCAGGACAUUCACACACAUUCACUCACCAGUGGAGCCAUAAUGGAGGUAGGGAGGGGGAAGUGUCUUACCAAAGGACACAUCAACAGUUGACUGGGUGGAGCGGGGCAACAUCAUAAGCUGACCUGCUAUCUGCCACCCUGAUAGCUCCCACCUCAGCAUCCUUUUACCAAAAUCAGACCUGUUCCUCCUCUAAAUGUAAUCAAACCAUCUCCAUCUGCUUCCCUGCAUCUCCAGAACAUCCACCUUGAUCUGAUCCUCUGAUAAAUUCAUUCCUUAUCCGUCCUGUCACUCCCAGAGCAUUCUUCAUCUCUGCUGCUCUCAGCUCCACUUCCUCUCUCUGCAUCAGAGUCUCUAAACCAGGCGUGCCCAAAUCGAGGACUUGAGUCCUACAUGUUUUCCAGCCAACCUGCCAUUGAAUCUCCUUACAGGCUAAACACACCUGAUCCAGG
RNAcentral lists this long non-coding RNA (2711 nucleotides) under Oryzias javanicus (javanese ricefish). RNAcentral describes it as "lncRNA (ENSOJAG00000001589.1)". Lineage: Eukaryota; Metazoa; Chordata; Actinopteri; Beloniformes; Adrianichthyidae. The record is from RNAcentral.